UGUGCGCCAGCGUGGAAUCUGCAGUGGGCGCGCGACAGCUGUGGGAUGCCGCCUGCGUGUCAGGGUUGUUUGUCCUUUUGCUCAAAUCAGUUUGAUGCAGGGGCGCGGGGAAUUCUAGACCCUUCCAAAAAGUCCUACUCUGUGCUUUGCCUGGGUUAAGUACACUGACAGUUGAGAUACUUUUGCUUCUAGAAGUCUGCACGAGGUACAAAGGAAAUGCGACCAACCUGGGGCUGGAGGUAGCUGCCAAGCUCUAUGUGUAUUCAUGAGACAAAAAUGGCCUCUGUUGCAAGGAGAUUGAGAUGGGUGCAGCAGCCUUGUCACCCCCAUGAGAUGGAUACUGCCCACCGCCGCGUGCACCAGGGGGCUGUGUAGGAUAAAAGCCUCAACCCCCCAGAACUGGAGCUUGAGAAUCGAUGUGAAUGGAGUGUGCCCUUUAGUCUGAUACUGAAUAGCCCUGAAAACCUGCCAAACUACAUAACUCCAGGCUAAAGUCAAGUUAUAUUGAAGGAAAGCACUGUUACUGACUGCUCCCUGAAGAUACAUAAGUGUCUGGCCUGAGUUGGAAGCCUGAGUCCAGAGGCAGGAGCUGUUCUUUGAAGGAAAUCUGGGCCUGUGCCAUGCAGGUAGGAAGCUGUUUCUGGAAAGAACCGCAGCUUCUCAGCUCACUUGCAAUGGAUAUGUAUCAGUUAUCGUGCUUAUAGUACAGUGCUAUCUAAUAGAAAUAUAAUGUGAAUGUUAUAUGUAUUUAAACGUCACUGGAAUUUUUCUACCAGCCACAUUUUACAAAGCAAAGAGAAAAGAGUGAAAUUAAUUUUAAUAAUAUGGUUUAACUCAAUAUAUCCAAAAUACUGUCAUUUUGACGUGAAUCAAUAAAAUAAUU
This is a long non-coding RNA of Nycticebus coucang (slow loris), 883 nucleotides long. RefSeq lists it as uncharacterized. The transcript has 3 exons. The record is from RefSeq and is a predicted model, not a curated record. Lineage: Eukaryota; Metazoa; Chordata; Mammalia; Primates; Lorisidae.